UAUAAAACGCCACAUUAUUGGCCUCUUGCCUU
RNAcentral lists this non-coding RNA (32 nucleotides) under Mus musculus (house mouse). The record is from RNAcentral. Lineage: Eukaryota; Metazoa; Chordata; Mammalia; Rodentia; Muridae.